Long non-coding RNA from Dama dama (fallow deer), 1154 nucleotides. RefSeq lists it as uncharacterized. NCBI's taxonomy places the organism in Eukaryota, Metazoa, Chordata, Mammalia, Artiodactyla, Cervidae. The transcript is spliced from 3 exons. The record is from RefSeq and is a predicted model, not a curated record.
AUUGUAUGUUGCACAAGAAAAUCCUCAAAUGACCAUGGAUAGUCACUUCCUAACAUGUCUGUGAGCAACUCAUCUUAUGAAGAGAAGAUCCCCAACCCCUAGGAAUUGACCAAGCAGAGGUCCCUGACUCCUUGUGUUGAAGGUUACCUGAUGAUUACCUGCAUGGAUUGUUGGAUAUACAAAAAAUAAAUUUCAACUGUGUGAAGCCACUGAGCUUAAUGAAUUUAUCUAUCAUAGCAGUGAGGAUUAACUUAUACUCCUAUGAGUCCAGUGUCCUUGAAGAUAAAUCACUUUGGUCUAAACUCUUUGGAUACUCUUGAGAGUCCCUUGGACAGCAAGGAGAUCCAACCAGUCCAUCCUGAAGGAAAUCAGUCCUGAAUAUUCAUUGGAAGAACUGAAGCUGAAACUCCAAUACUUUGGCCUCCUGAUGCGAAGAACUGACUCAUUUGAAAAGACCCUGAUGCUGGGAAAGAUUGAAGGCAGGAGGAGAAGGGGACGACAGAGGGUGAGAUGGUUGGAUGGCAUCACUGACUCAAUGGACAUGAGUUUGAGUAAACUCCGGGAAUUGGUGAUGGACAGGGAGGCCUGGCGUGCUGCAGUCCAUGGGGUCGCAAAGAGUCGGACACGACUGAGCGACUGAACUGAACUGACUGGCUGACUUUGGCUUGAAGACUCCCUGACGUUCUAGAUGCACUUGCCUUGAUUGCAUGACAAUCUAGGAAGCUUCCACCCAAAAGUCCUUCUUUCUUUCUUUUCCUCUCUCCUUCCCUUAGGGUCAGGUUCGUCCCUCCCCAUUUUUCCACAGAUAUUUCCUUGAAUAAACUUCUGCAUGUCUAGUCUGUUGUGGUGUUCCCUAGUCAGAGGACCUAAAUUUAAUCCAGAAAUCAUUCUCAUCUUUCUGUUGGAAGUCUGAUUCUCUUAAAAUGUAAGGAAUUUGUGGCUAUCUCAUUUAGUUCCUUGAUUGGGUGAGAUUCUUUUAUAGACUAUGAGUAUUUCCCCUUGAGCUGUACAUAGAAUCUUGGGCAAGGUAUGGUCACAGAGACCCCUGUGACCCACCUAAGAAAUGAGAAAAUCAAGUUGCAAAAGUCCUUGAGAAGAUAACUACUUGCUUUUAAACUCCAGGAUUCCUAAUGGAGAUGGGAAAAAUGAUGAAC